GUUGUGAAUUGUUGUACCGUUGUAUUUAUGGUGGAAUUGAUGAUUAAUAAUAGUUAAUAAAUUUUAAAAAAAUCAAUGAACUUAGUAUAUAUUUUUUUUUACAUGUUAGUAAUAAAAUCAAGGAAAUAUUUACCAUAAAUCACUUUAAUCUUUAGUUGUAUUAAGAUUUAGGAUUUCAUAACAACUUCGUUGAAUGAAGGAAGAAGAUUAAGUUAUGGAAAAAAAAUCCCUCCACGUAACUGGUAAUAAAACUAAGUUAAUAUAGAUGAUGUUUCUGAAAACUAAAGUUUUAACAUGAUAUCAGAUUGGAAGUUGAAAUUUGAAUAGUUCAUGUCUAGGUAUGUUUCAGAUGAAAUUGAAUAUCUGACAGCCAGUAAACACCUCGACUCUCCUUGUUUAGUACUAUAACUAUAUAAUUCUCUCCAUCUCUCAAAAGAUUCAACGGAAUCUCAAAAGUCUGCUCGCCAAAGUCGUCCCAUCUUGCGUAGCUAUAGCCUUCACGGAAGAGUUUGUCAUUAACCUUUAUAUCAAAAAAAGAGGGACGAAAGAUACCAAAGGGACAGUCAAACUCAUAAAUCUAAAACAAACUGACAACGCCAUGGCUAAAAAUGAAAAAGACAAACAGAAAAACAAUAGUAUACAUGACACAACAUAGAAAACUAAAGAAUAAACAACACGAACCCCACCAAAAACUAGGGGUGAUCUCAGGUGCUCCGGAAGGGUAAGCAGAUCCUGCUCCACAUGUGGCACCCGUCGUGUUGUUUAUGUGAUUACAAAUCCGGUAAAUAGUCUAAUUCGGUAGGUCACAUUCAUGAAAGGGAAGGGGAUUGUAGUUACGACGUAUGGAACAUAUCCGAUAUCAUUUGUGAAACGGUUAUUUCAUAACGGUCAACCAACUCGUGAUGGCGUCCGUAAAAUUUACGAAGGGAUGAUUUCAACUUCACCAUUUGGAACUCUUGGUUUAAUAGCUUCCUUGUGAGCAGUAACCCUCUAUCAAGAAAAUCAUGAUAGGAAAUGCAAGCACGGGAAUAUCGUAUCAAUUGGGAGAUAUAUACCCCGUAUGCAGGUGCUGCUGGAAUGUUGCUACUUAGAAAUGGAAAGUUCACAAUUGGAAAGCUGAAAUCAUCUCUUUUGUCGUAAAGUUUAGUUUUCAAUCGACCCUCAUUGUCAAUUUCUAGAUGUAAGUCAAGAUAUGAAGCCGACUUAACUGUAUCUGUAGUAUCCUUUAUCUCCAAUUCGAUGGGAUAGAUGCGUU
RNAcentral lists this long non-coding RNA (1255 nucleotides) under Mytilus galloprovincialis (Mediterranean mussel). The record is from RNAcentral. Lineage: Eukaryota; Metazoa; Mollusca; Bivalvia; Mytilida; Mytilidae.